RNAcentral lists this non-coding RNA (221 nucleotides) under Virgibacillus sp. Its description in RNAcentral is "T-box sequence". It matches the Rfam family "T-box leader". Rfam says of the family: Uncharged tRNA acts as the effector for transcription antitermination of genes in the T-box leader family. T-boxes are found upstream of many aminoacyl-tRNA synthetase genes and some amino acid biosynthetic genes usually in Gram-positive bacteria. Lineage: Bacteria; Bacillati; Bacillota; Bacilli; Caryophanales; Bacillaceae. The record is from RNAcentral.
AUAGAAACGUUGAGAAGGAUUAGUAUAAUUUGGUUUGUUUUUAAGAGAGGGAAUGGGUGGUGCGAAUUCCUAAAACACAAAUUAGAACCUGCCUUUAAGUUCGUCAUCGGAAAAGCUAUUGCUCAGAAGAUGUACGCGGUAUUUUACCGUUAUCAGGCUAAGUGUACAGGAUGUAUGAUUCCUGUAAACAAGGGUGGUACCACCAAACCUCGGUCCCUUAU